CCUGCCCUAAUGAUGCACUAAACCCAAUAAUUAAUGAGUUAGUGUAUACAUUUGAGGGUCUCCCUAGUCAAAAAUUAGGCAAUUUACGUCCAAUGCUCCUCCUACCGUAAAGUACACAGCGGAUUAUAAUCUGGAUUUUGAAAUAAACUGCGGAACCGAUAAUGUCUGCAUCGAUAAUCUCAAAGUGGAUUUUAACUUUUCUGGGCACUCAGUUAUACAGGUUGGAAUACUGCAGGAGAUGAAUGUGACAGUUUUUAUACAGAACAGAGGGGAAAACUCCUAUAACAGUCAAGUCAUUCUCAAAUACCCAUUCGGACUUUCCUUCAGACGAUUCACCACUA
Long non-coding RNA from Silurus meridionalis, 341 nucleotides. RefSeq lists it as uncharacterized. The record is from RefSeq and is a predicted model, not a curated record. Lineage: Eukaryota; Metazoa; Chordata; Actinopteri; Siluriformes; Siluridae. The transcript has 3 exons.